Molecule: ribosomal RNA, 415 nt
Filed under: uncultured bacterium
Lineage: Bacteria
Description: bacterial SSU rRNA
Rfam family: Bacterial small subunit ribosomal RNA
Source: RNAcentral
GCCCUUAGCGGAGCGUGUGGUUUAAUUCGACGCAACGCGAAGAACCUUACCUGGGCUUGACAUGCGCGUGGUACGACCUCGAAAGGGGGAGGACCCGCAAGGGAGCGCGCACAGAUGCUGCAUGGCUUGUCGUCAGCUCGUGCCGUGAGGUGUUGGGUUAAGUCCCGCAACGAGCGCAACCCUCGCUGCCAGUUACCAUGUCUGGCGGGACCGCCGGGUCCAACCCGGAGGAAGGUGGGGAUGACGUCAAGUCAGCACGGCUCUUACGUCCAGGGCUACACACACGCUACAAUGGCCGGUACAACGCGCAGCGAUGGGGCGACCCGGAGCGAAUCGCAGCAAAGCCGGUCUCAGUUGGGAUUGCAGGCUGCAACUCGCCUGCAUGAACGCGGAGUUGCUAGUAACCGCGAAGGGC